UGGGCGGUGUAGGCGGAUCGGGCGGCACCAAUCCGCUGGCGCCGGUCACGGGGCUGCUUGGCGGCGGAUCGGGCGGUUCCAACCCGCUCGCGCCCGUC
RNAcentral lists this transfer RNA (98 nucleotides) under Ralstonia mannitolilytica. RNAcentral describes it as "tRNA-Ala". The record is from RNAcentral. Lineage: Bacteria; Pseudomonadati; Pseudomonadota; Betaproteobacteria; Burkholderiales; Burkholderiaceae.